UUGAACGCUGGCGGCAGGCCUAACCCAUGCCAGUCGAACGGUAACAGGAAGCAGCUUGCUGCUUCGCUGACGAGUGGCGGACGGGUGAGUAAUGUCUGGGAAACUGCCUGAUGGAGGGGGAUAACUACUGGAAACGGUAGCUAAUACCGCAUAACGUCGCAAGACCAAAGAGGGGGACCUUAGGGCCUCUUGCCAUCGGAUGUGCCCAGAUGGGAUUAGCUAGUAGGUGGGGUAACGGCUCACCUAGGCGACGAUCCCUAGCUGGUCUGAGAGGAUGACCAGCCACACUGGAACUGAGACACGGUCCAGACUCCUACGGGAGGCAGCAGUGGGGAAUAUUGCACAAUGGGCGCAAGCCUGAUGCAGCCAUGCCGCGUGUAUGAAGAAGGCCUUCGGGUUGUAAAGUACUUUCAGCGGGGAGGAAGGGAGUAAAGUUAAUACCUUGGCUCAUUGACGUUACCCGCAGAAGAAGCACCGGCUAACUCCGUG
Molecule: ribosomal RNA, 489 nt
Filed under: uncultured bacterium
Lineage: Bacteria
Description: partial 16S ribosomal RNA
Rfam family: Bacterial small subunit ribosomal RNA
Source: RNAcentral